AGGACGAACGCUGGCGGCGUGCUUCAUACAUGCAAGUCGAACGAUAAGGUUCCUUCGGGAAUACAUAAGUGGCGGACGGGUGAGUAAUAUGUAGAGAAUCUGCCUUCAAGCGGGGGACAACAGAGGGAAACUUCUGCUAAUACCCCAUAUGAGCGUACCUGUGAUGGUAUUCUUGAAAGCUCCGGCGCUUGGAGAUGAGUCUGCAUCUGAUUAGCUAGUUGGGGGUGUAAUGGACCACCAAGGCGACGAUCAGUAGCUGGUUUGAGAGGAUGAUCAGCCACAAUGGGACUGAGACACGGCCCAUACUCCUACGGGAGGCAGCAGUAGGGAAUUUUGCGCAAUGGGCGAAAGCCUGACGCAGCAAACCGCCGCGUGAUCGCAGACGGCCUUCGGGUUGUAAAGAUCUGUCAGUAGGGACGAACAAUGACUGUACCUACAGAGGAAGCACCGGCUAACUCCGUGCCAGCAGCAGC
This 473-nucleotide ribosomal RNA is filed under the name uncultured bacterium. Its description in RNAcentral is "bacterial SSU rRNA". It matches the Rfam family "Bacterial small subunit ribosomal RNA", at positions 26 to 518 of the family's 1533-position model. The record is from RNAcentral.